Molecule: long non-coding RNA, 584 nt
Organism: Hipposideros armiger (great roundleaf bat)
Lineage: Eukaryota; Metazoa; Chordata; Mammalia; Chiroptera; Hipposideridae
Exons: 3
Source: RefSeq, a predicted model, not a curated record
UUGUCAGGUUUACCAUGUGACCCCUUUUCCGUCCACACUGGUAACAAACAGAAAUACAGACAUUGUUGUCAGUGUACUACUACUGGCCUCACACAAAUCCCCAAACUUGCUUUCCAUACCCUCUGGGGCACAUAUACACUCACACUUUUCUUGACACACAGCUUUCUGUGCAGCACAAAACUCAAGAAUCAGCAGCCUGCCUGCUCUCCUGUACUUUCUUCGAUUGGAGGAGAAACAGCCAGGCCCUGUGAGGACAAACUUUGGACCUAAUCGCCCUGACCUGAGCUCCGGUCCAGGUUGCUGACCUGCUCAGGGGAGGCAAGACCAGCUCCCUGGAGAACCAGGCAGAAUAUUCUAGGAGCUCGAGGUGAAAGGGGUCACAGCACCAGCUGCCAUACCCUCUACCAGUCUGCUCACUGGGUUUUGCCCAAAGGGAGUCAAGGUCACUACCUCCCUAUGCGAUGCCUUUCAGCUGUUCCCAAGAUAAAACUCCCUGAAGGGGAACCUGAGGAUCAGAGAGGGGAAGGGACUUGCCCAGGACCACACAGCAGAACCAGGACUCAAACUCAGCUCUUCUGAUGCCC